UACGUAGGGCGCAAGCGUUGUCCGGAAUUAUUGGGCGUAAAGCGCGCGCAGGUGGUUUCUUAAGUCUGAUGUGAAAGCCCACGGCUCAACCGUGGAGGGUCAUUGGAAACUGGGGAACUUGAGUGCAGGAGAGAAGAGUGGAAUUCCACGUGUAGCGGUGAAAUGCGUAGAGAUGUGGAGGAACACCAGUGGCGAAGGCGACUCUUUGGCCUGUAACUGACACUGAGGCGCGAAAGCGUGGGGAGCAAACAGG
This 253-nucleotide ribosomal RNA is filed under the name uncultured bacterium. Its description in RNAcentral is "partial 16S ribosomal RNA". It matches the Rfam family "Bacterial small subunit ribosomal RNA", at positions 524 to 776 of the family's 1533-position model. The record is from RNAcentral.